GUGAAAGUUUCAUUUGAUCUAAACAACAUACAGAUCAAAUACAUGGAUGAGGAUAAUGAUGAG
Molecule: long non-coding RNA, 63 nt
Filed under: Chrysemys picta bellii (western painted turtle)
Lineage: Eukaryota; Metazoa; Chordata; Testudines; Emydidae
Description: Neighbour of BRCA1 2 converved region (ENSCPBG00000016263.1)
Rfam family: Neighbour of BRCA1 gene 2 converved region
Source: RNAcentral